This 253-nucleotide ribosomal RNA is filed under the name uncultured bacterium. RNAcentral's name for it is "partial 16S ribosomal RNA". It matches the Rfam family "Bacterial small subunit ribosomal RNA", at positions 524 to 776 of the family's 1533-position model. The record is from RNAcentral.
UACGAAGGGGGCUAGCGUUGCUCGGAAUCACUGGGCGUAAAGCGCACGUAGGCGGCGCGGUAAGUCGGGUGUGAAAUCUCGGAGCUUAACUCCGAAACUGCAUUCGAUACUGCCGUGCUUGAGGACUGGAGAGGAGACUGGAAUUUACGGUGUAGCGGUGAAAUGCGUAGAUAUCGUAAGGAAGACCAGUGGCGAAGGCGGGUCUCUGGACAGUUCCUGACGCUGAGGCACGAAGGCCAGGGGAGCAAACGGG